This 342-nucleotide unclassified non-coding RNA is filed under the name soil metagenome. RNAcentral's name for it is "partial contains 5.8S ribosomal RNA, internal transcribed spacer 2, and large subunit ribosomal RNA". The stretch from base 1 to 120 matches the Rfam family "5.8S ribosomal RNA", at positions 35 to 154 of the family's 154-position model. The record is from RNAcentral.
GAUGAAGAACGCAGCGAAAUGCGAUAAGUAAUGUGAAUUGCAGAAUUCAGUGAAUCAUCGAAUCUUUGAACGCACAUUGCGCCCGCCAGCAUUCUGGCGGGCAUGCCUGUUCGAGCGUCAUUUCAACCCUCGAGCCCCCCCGGGGGCCUCGGUGUUGGGGGACGGCACACCAGCCGCCCCCGAAAUGCAGUGGCGACCUCGCCGCAGCCUCCCCUGCGUAGUAGCACACACCUCGCACCGGAGCGCGGAGACGGUCACGCCGUAAAACGCCCAACUUCUUAGAGUUGACCUCGGAUCAGGUAGGAAUACCCGCUGAACUUAUGCAUAUCAAUAAGCGGAGGA